RNAcentral lists this ribosomal RNA (370 nucleotides) under Cymbeba trapezus. RNAcentral's name for it is "partial 12S ribosomal RNA". Lineage: Eukaryota; Metazoa; Arthropoda; Insecta; Coleoptera; Tenebrionidae. The record is from RNAcentral.
GAUACCCUAUUAUUUUAAAUGUAAUUUUUUUCGCUAAAAUUAUUAAUAGUUAUGUUCUUUAAAAUUAAAAAUUUUGGCGGUAUUUUAGUCUUUUCAGAGGAACCUGUUUUUUAAUUGACAAUCCACGAUAAGCUUUACUUUAACUUUAAAUUUAUAUAUCGUCGUUUAUAAAGAUUUUAUUAGAAUUAUAAUUUUUAAUAUUUUUUAUUAAAAGCUAGUUCAGAUCAAGGUGUAGUUUAUGUUAAAGUAGGAAUGGGUUACAUUAAAUUUAUUUAUAGUUUUAUUAUUGAAAAUGAUAGAUAAAUUGGAUUUGAAAGUAAUAAUUAUAUUUUUAUAUUAUGAUUAAGCUCUAAAAUAUGCACACAUCGCC